AGUAAGACAUUAGGACUUCCAUAUUAUAUUUUGAUCGGGUUUUCCACGGUGAAACGUGCCGACAAAUGGUGGGUACUGAAUAUGCCUUGUAAUACAGUCCGUGAUGAUUUUACUAGAAAGCCUUGUGAAAGUAGCCUAACGGUGAAAUUAGUAGCAAGGUUUU
This 163-nucleotide small RNA is filed under the name Bacillus phage vB_BthP-Goe4. Its description in RNAcentral is "pRNA". Lineage: Duplodnaviria; Heunggongvirae; Uroviricota; Caudoviricetes; Salasmaviridae. The record is from RNAcentral.